RNAcentral lists this ribosomal RNA (836 nucleotides) under Enterobacter sp. ME64. RNAcentral describes it as "bacterial SSU rRNA". It matches the Rfam family "Bacterial small subunit ribosomal RNA", at positions 49 to 877 of the family's 1533-position model. The record is from RNAcentral. Lineage: Bacteria; Pseudomonadati; Pseudomonadota; Gammaproteobacteria; Enterobacterales; Enterobacteriaceae.
CUACCAUGCAAGUCGAGCGGUAACACAGGGAGCUUGCUCCCGGGUGACGAGCGGCGGACGGGUGAGUAAUGUCUGGGAAACUGCCUGAUGGAGGGGGAUAACUACUGGAAACGGUAGCUAAUACCGCAUAACGUCGCAAGACCAAAGAGGGGGACCUUCGGGCCUCUUGCCAUCACAUGUGCCCACAUGGGAUUAGCUAGUAGGUGGGGUAAUGGCUCACCUAGGCGACAAUCCCUAUCUGGUCUGAGAGGAUGACCAGCCACACUGGAACUGAGACACGGUCCAGACUCCUACGGGAGGCAGCAGUGGGGAAUAUUGCACAAUGGGCGCAAGCCUGAUGCACCCAUGCCGCGUGUAUGAAAAAGGCCUUCGGGUUGUAAAGUACUUUCACCGGGGAGGAAGGUGUUGAGGUUAAUAACCUCACCAAUUGACGUUACCCGCAGAAAAAACACCGGCUAACUCCGUGCCACCAGCCGCGGUAAUACGGAGGGUGCAAGCGUUAAUCGGAAUUACUGGGCGUAAAGCGCACGCAGGCGGUCUGUCAAGUCGGAUGUGAAAUCCCCGGGCUCAACCUGGGAACUGCAUUCUAAACUGGCAGGCUAUAGUCUUGUAGAGGGGGGUAGAAUUCCAGGUGUAGCGGUGAAAUGCGUAUAGAUCUGGAGGAAUACCGGUGGCGAAGGCGGCCCCCUGGACAAAGACUGACGCUCACGUGCGAAAGCGUGUGGAGCAAACAGGAUUAUAUACCCUGGUAGUCCACGCCGUAAACGAUGUCUACUUGUAGGUUGUGCCCUUGAGGCGUGGCUUCCGGAGCUAACGCGUUAAGUCGACCGCCUGGG